AGUGAUUGCUUCUACACUGUGAAAAUUUGGCUGAGAGACUCAGACUGGUCAUGGGUAGACCUAUCUGGGGUUUGAUCGAUGCCACUCCUGGUUUCAGGAGUACCCUUCAUAAUAAACCUAGAAAUUCAGUAUUAUAAAGUUUAAUAAAAAACAACUUUUAACAAUGGAUCUCUUGGUUCUCGCAUCGAUGAAGAACGUAGCAAAGUGCGAUAACUAGUGUGAAUUGCAUAUUCAGUGAAUCAUCGAGUCUUUGAACGCAGCUUGCACUCUAUGGUUUUUCUAUAGAGUACGCCUGCUUCAGUAUCAUCACAAACCCACACAUAACAUUUGUUUAUGUGGUGAUGGGUCGCAUCGCUGUUUUAUUACAGUGAGCACCUAAAAUGUGUGUGAUUUUCUGUCUGGCUUGCUAGGCAGGAAUAUUACGCUGGUCUCAGGAUCUUUUUUUUUGGUUCGCCCAGGAAGUAAAGUACAAGAGUAUAAUCCAGUAACUUUCAAACUAUGAUCUGAAGUCAGGUGGGAUUACCCGCUGAACUUAAGCAUAUCAAUAAGCGGAGGAAAAGAAAAUAACAAUGAUUUCCCUAGUAACGGCGAGUGAAGAGGAAAGAGCUCAAAGUUGGAACCUGUUUGGCCUAGCUAAACCGGAUUGUAGACUGUAGAAGUGUUUUCCAGGCAAGCCGAGUAAAUAAGUCCUUUGGAACAGGGCAUCAUAGAGGGUGAGAAUCCCGUCUUUGGCUUGAGCAUUUGCCUUUUGUGAUACGCUUUCAAAGAGUCAGGUUGUUUGG
This 782-nucleotide unclassified non-coding RNA is filed under the name Rhizopus arrhizus. Its description in RNAcentral is "Rhizopus oryzae sequence contains ITS1, 5.8S rRNA gene, ITS2, 28S rRNA gene". The stretch from base 500 to 782 matches the Rfam family "Eukaryotic large subunit ribosomal RNA", at positions 1 to 277 of the family's 3401-position model. The record is from RNAcentral. Lineage: Eukaryota; Fungi; Mucoromycota; Mucoromycetes; Mucorales; Rhizopodaceae.